UCACUAAGUCUAUGACUUAGCGUGUAAGUGAUUUACACGUAGGUACAGAAAAGUAAGAAGAUCGAUCUUAAGAGCAGCAACGCAGCAUACCAUCAUUAGGGGAUCAAAUCAGAAGUAAACAACAAAUGGAGAAAAGAAUU
Hibiscus syriacus is the source of this 140-nucleotide long non-coding RNA. RefSeq lists it as uncharacterized. The transcript is spliced from 3 exons. NCBI's taxonomy places the organism in Eukaryota, Viridiplantae, Streptophyta, Magnoliopsida, Malvales, Malvaceae. The record is from RefSeq and is a predicted model, not a curated record.